AAUUGAUAGAGCAGGCCAUCCAUCCAUUCUAAGUUGCCUAGUAACCUGAUCACAUCCUUUCUUAGUUUCAAGAAAUAUCAGUAUCUUGCUCCCAUCCAUCAAUUCUGUCAAAAGUUUAAUCAACCUGGGGUACUUCUCAUGCUCCGACACAACUUCAACAAUUUGGUUUAUAGACUGAUUAGCCUUAAGGUCAGGGGAUCCUAUUAUUACCUUGUAAGGAUUUUGUAAGAACUUUCUAGCCAAAGAUUCGACUUCUUUAGGCCAUGUG
This 268-nucleotide unclassified non-coding RNA is filed under the name Hevea brasiliensis (rubber tree). Lineage: Eukaryota; Viridiplantae; Streptophyta; Magnoliopsida; Malpighiales; Euphorbiaceae. The record is from RNAcentral.